This is a small nuclear RNA of Molossus molossus (Pallas's mastiff bat), 169 nucleotides long. RefSeq annotates it as U1 spliceosomal RNA. NCBI's taxonomy places the organism in Eukaryota, Metazoa, Chordata, Mammalia, Chiroptera, Molossidae. The record is from RefSeq and is a predicted model, not a curated record. The transcript has a single exon.
AUAUCUACCUGGCAGGGGAGAUACCAUGAUCACCAAGGUGGUCUUCCCAGGGCGAGGCUUAUCCAUUGCACUCCGGAUGUGCUGACUCUUGCGAUUUCUCCAAAUGUGAGAAACUCGACAGCACAAUUUGUGGGAGUGCAUGAUGGGGGGUGUGGUCGUGCAGCAUGUA